This 650-nucleotide ribosomal RNA is filed under the name Enterobacter asburiae. RNAcentral's name for it is "partial 23S ribosomal RNA". It matches the Rfam family "Bacterial large subunit ribosomal RNA", at positions 609 to 1258 of the family's 2925-position model. Lineage: Bacteria; Pseudomonadati; Pseudomonadota; Gammaproteobacteria; Enterobacterales; Enterobacteriaceae. The record is from RNAcentral.
UGUAUAAUGGGUCAGCGACUUAUAUUCUGUAGCAAGGUUAACCGUAUAGGGGAGCCGAAGGGAAACCGAGUCUUAACUGGGCGUUAAGUUGCAGGGUAUAGACCCGAAACCCGGUGAUCUAGCCAUGGGCAGGUUGAAGGUUGGGUAACACUAACUGGAGGACCGAACCGACUAAUGUUGAAAAAUUAGCGGAUGACUUGUGGCUGGGGGUGAAAGGCCAAUCAAACCGGGAGAUAGCUGGUUCUCCCCGAAAGCUAUUUAGGUAGCGCCUCGUGAACUCAUCUUCGGGGGUAGAGCACUGUUUCGGCUAGGGGGCCAUCCCGGCUUACCAACCCGAUGCAAACUACGAAUACCGAAGAAUGUUAUCACGGGAGACACACGGCGGGUGCUAACGUCCGUCGUGAAGAGGGAAACAACCCAGACCGCCAGCUAAGGUCCCAAAGUCAUGGUUAAGUGGGAAACGAUGUGGGAAGGCACAGACAGCCAGGAUGUUGGCUUAGAAGCAGCCAUCAUUUAAAGAAAGCGUAAUAGCUCACUGGUCGAGUCGGCCUGCGCGGAAGAUGUAACGGGGCUAAACCAUGCACCGAAGCUGCGGCAGCGACGCUUAGGCGUUGUUGGGUAGGGGAGCGUUCUGUAAGCCGUUGAAGGUG